Molecule: ribosomal RNA, 528 nt
Filed under: uncultured bacterium
Lineage: Bacteria
Description: bacterial SSU rRNA
Rfam family: Bacterial small subunit ribosomal RNA
Source: RNAcentral
GGCUCAGGACGAACGCUGGCGGCGUGCCUAAUACAUGCAAGUCGAACGGUCUUUUCUAUGGAAGCUUGCUUCCACUGAGAAGAUAGUGGCGAACGGGUGAGUAACACGUGGGUAACCUGCCCAUAAGAGGGGGGAUAACAUCCGGAAACGGGUGCUAAUACCGCAUAGUUUUCUUGAUCGCAUGAUCGGGAAAGGAAAGACGGCCUUUGUGCUGUCGCUUAUGGAUGGACCCGCGGCGUAUUAGUUAGUUGGUGAGGUAACGGCUCACCAAGACGAUGAUACGUAGUCGACCUGAGAGGGUGAUCGGCCACAUUGGGACUGAGACACGGCCCAAACUCCUACGGGAGGCAGCAGUAGGGAAUCUUCCGCAAUGGACGAAAGUCUGACGGAGCAACGCCGCGUGAGUGAAGAAAAGGGUUUUCGGAUCGUAAAACUCUGUUGUCAGAGAAGAACAAGUUGGAGAGUAACUGCUCCAGCCUUGACGGUAUCUGACCAGAAAGCCACGGCUAACUACGUGCCAGCCGCCGC